Prunus avium (sweet cherry) is the source of this 156-nucleotide non-coding RNA. The record is from RefSeq and is a predicted model, not a curated record. Lineage: Eukaryota; Viridiplantae; Streptophyta; Magnoliopsida; Rosales; Rosaceae.
UCUUACUUAUCUCUAUCUGGAUCACAACUUCCUCAGCGGACAGAUACCAUCAUCUUUGGGUGCACUGACUUCUCUGCAACUAUUGUCUCUGUAUUAUAAUGACUUGUCAGGUCCAAUUCCCUACCAAUUAGGAAACAUCACAGCCCUUCAAAUAUU